CCCCGAACGAACAGUUCCUCCGUGCCGCCGUCCUUCCUCCUCUCGAUGCGGCAGCGUUCCUCCCUCCUCGAUGCACUGUAGAUCCGCCGUGUUCGUGUAUUUAAUGGCGGCUGCAGCGGCCACCCGCGCCGUCGGCUUUCACCGCUGGCUGUCGCUGGAGGCAAACUACCUGGAUGGUUUGGUGGCGAUGGAGGCGCUAGAUACCUGCUUUCUCGCAUGCCUUCUCCUCGCCUCUGCUCUUCCCAGUGAUGCGGACCCAGGAACAGAGUCCAACCCUCUCUCCUUCUGUUUGUUCCUUCUUCUAAUUGUUCCUUCGUAUUCUAUUCUGCAUGCUAUUUGACAAACUUCAAAUUUUGUUUUUAUGUCUCAGUGUGCCUGGUUUAAAGUCCCAUGUGAGAAGAUCCUUCUGAGGAAGGCCAAGAAUUGGUACUGAAAUUCUCAAUAUGCAUAGGUACAAAGAACCUUGAAUUUGUCCAAGUGAGCAUGACAUUGAUUCCGGUUCUGUGGUAUUUGUGUCUAACUUAAUUCAUCUUGGCACCUGGUCAAAAUAAAUAAAUUCAUCUUGGCAUGAAUAUUAUGUGGUUCAAGUACUAAUCAAGUGAGCUGAGCAUUUAGUUUCUUCGUCACCAUGCUAAUAGUAGAUUUGUGCAAUGCUAUUAGGAAUAACAUCUUAUUUUAUCCACCGGUCUCUGGUAAAUGAGAAGUUCACUCUUUGUUUACACUUGUGACUAAAACACAUUUGGUUUCAUAUUGUAAUUUCUUUUUUCAGAUUUUGGCAUGUUAUUCUCGAAUAUAUUAUGCGCACGAUUUAUUUCUGGAAAUAUUUUCCCCUUUCUCGAGAGUCCAUAUUCACUAUUAAUUUCUGAAAGUCAACUUUUAUGUUGUUUAGCCCACAAUGCUCCUAGAAGUAUUACAUGGCACGUGGAGCGCAGGGUGAGUGCCCAUGUUAGCAAUCUUGUGUUCCUUUUUCCAGAUUUAGGGUUUAGUUUGGUUAAGAAAGCUUGUUGCACUGUAUUAACACUACUUGAUCUAUGGUUUGUAAGAUUUUGAGACCUGGAUCCUCUCUUUGGCAAGUAUUGCAGGCAACCGGUGAAGGCGAAGCCAUUUGUGAAUGCAAGGCAGACAGACUAUUAAAUGCCAUGAAAUUGUAAAGGUAUCUUUCUAUUCCUGCGCCCAGGUCGUUUAAGAAAAACAGUCCAUCAGUUGUGAGAUCUCUUACUGCUAAAAUCAGUGGUUGGUGUGGCAUGAGUAAAAUCGGUACCAUGACAUUUGGAUCUGACGUUUUAAUGUGUACCUGACACACCUUGAGGAUUAAAGCUGCGCUUGAGUCAAUUCGAAUAUUGUACAGUUAAUCUAUUUUGUCUAUUAGGAGUUAGAUCCAAAAGGCUAAGUUAUAUGUGAUAAAACUCAACUUA
Long non-coding RNA from Triticum aestivum (bread wheat), 1415 nucleotides. RefSeq lists it as uncharacterized. The record is from RefSeq and is a predicted model, not a curated record. Lineage: Eukaryota; Viridiplantae; Streptophyta; Magnoliopsida; Poales; Poaceae. The transcript has 3 exons.